This 425-nucleotide ribosomal RNA is filed under the name uncultured bacterium. RNAcentral describes it as "bacterial SSU rRNA". It matches the Rfam family "Bacterial small subunit ribosomal RNA", at positions 356 to 773 of the family's 1533-position model. The record is from RNAcentral.
GGGGAAUUUUGGACAAUGGGGGCAACCCUGAUCCAGCCAUGCCGCGUGAGUGAAGAAGGCCUUCGGGUUGUAAAGCUCUUUCGGUGGGGAAGAAAUUGCCUGGGAUAAUACCUCAGGUAGAUGACGGUACCCGCAUAAGAAGCACCGGCUAACUACGUGCCAGCAGCCGCGGUAAUACGUAGGGUGCGAGCGUUAAUCGGAAUUACUGGGCGUAAAGCGUGCGCAGGCGGUUGUAUAAGUCGGAUGUGAAAUCCCCGGGCUCAACCUGGGAACUGCAUUUGAGACUGUACGGCUAGAGUGUGGCAGAGGGGGGUAGAAUUCCACGUGUAGCAGUGAAAUGCGUAGAGAUGUGGAGGAAUACCGAUGGCGAAGGCAGCCCCCUGGGCCAAUACUGACGCUCAUGCACGAAAGCGUGGGGAGCAAAC